Molecule: ribosomal RNA, 308 nt
Filed under: uncultured Lewinella sp.
Lineage: Bacteria; Pseudomonadati; Bacteroidota; Saprospiria; Saprospirales; Lewinellaceae
Description: bacterial SSU rRNA
Rfam family: Bacterial small subunit ribosomal RNA
Source: RNAcentral
GAUGAACGCUAGCGGGAGGCUUAAUACAUGCAAGUCGAGCGAGAAUGUUGGUGCUUGCACUGACAGGCAGCGGCGCACGGGUGAGUAACGCGUACAGAAUCUACCAUACACAGGAGGAUAGCCCCGGGAAACUGGGAUUAAUACUCCAUGGCCCCUAGAAUAGGCAUCUAUUUAAGGGUAAAGCUCCGGCGGUGUAUGAUGACUGUGCGUACUAUUAGCUAGUUGGUGAGGUAACGGCUCACCAAGGCAGUGAUAGUUAGGGGGCGUGAGAGCGUGAUCCCCCACAUGGGUACUGAGACACGGACCCA